GAUGAACGCUGGCGGCGUGCCUAAUACAUGCAAGUCGAGCGAACGGACGAGAAACUUGCUUCUCUGAUGUUAGCGGCGGACGGGUGAGUAACACGUGGAUAACCUACCUAUAAGACUGGGAUAACUUCUGGAAACCGGAGCUAAUACCGGAUAAUAUUUUGAACCGCAUGGUUCAAAAGUGAAAGACGGUCUUGCUGUCACUUAUAGAUGGAUCCGCGCUGCAUUAGCCAGUUUGACUGAUAACGGUUUACCAAGGCACCGAUUCAUAACCGACCUGAGAGCAUGAUCAGCCACACUGGAACGGCAGCGCGAUCCAAACUCCUACGGGAGGAAGCAGUAGGGACUCUUCCGCAACGCUCCAAGACCUGACCGAGCAACGCCGCGUGAGUCAUAAAAGUCUUCGGAUCGUAAAGCUCUAUUAUGAGGGUAGAACAUAUGUGUGAGGAACUUUGCACAUCUCGACCGUACCUAAUCAGAAAGCCACGACUAACUACGUU
This 497-nucleotide ribosomal RNA is filed under the name uncultured bacterium. RNAcentral describes it as "partial 16S ribosomal RNA". It matches the Rfam family "Bacterial small subunit ribosomal RNA", at positions 28 to 507 of the family's 1533-position model. The record is from RNAcentral.